This 406-nucleotide ribosomal RNA is filed under the name uncultured bacterium. RNAcentral describes it as "partial 16S ribosomal RNA". It matches the Rfam family "Bacterial small subunit ribosomal RNA", at positions 30 to 526 of the family's 1533-position model. The record is from RNAcentral.
AUUGAACGCUGGCGGCAGGCCUAACACAUGCAAGUCGAACGAGUGGCGGACGGGUGAGUAAUGUCUGGGAAACUGCCCGAUGGAGGGGGAUAACUACUGGAAACGGUAGCUAAUAACGAAUACCAUCGGAUGUGCCUAGAUGGGAUUAGCUAGUAGGUGGGGGAAAGGCUCACCUAGGCGACGUGCCCUAGCUGGUCUGAGAUGAUGACCAGCCACACUGUAACUGAGACACGGUCCAGACUCCUACGGGCGGCAGCAGUGGGGAAUAUUGCACAAGGGGCGCAAGCCUGAUGCAGCCAUGCCGCGUGUAUGAAGAAGGCCUUCGGGUUGUAAAGUACUUUCAGCGGGGAGGCGUUACCCGCAGAAGAAGCACCGGCUAACUCCGUGCCAGCCGCCGCGGUAAUAC